RNAcentral lists this ribosomal RNA (838 nucleotides) under Cladophora stimpsonii. Its description in RNAcentral is "SSU rRNA". It matches the Rfam family "Eukaryotic small subunit ribosomal RNA", at positions 138 to 988 of the family's 1831-position model. Lineage: Eukaryota; Viridiplantae; Chlorophyta; Ulvophyceae; Cladophorales; Cladophoraceae. The record is from RNAcentral.
UUCGGAUAACCGUAGUAACACUAGAGCUAAUACGUGCGUAAAUCCCGACUUUUGGAAGGGACGUAUUUAUUAGAUUUAUGGCCAGCCGGGCUUGCCCGACCAGCGGUGAAUCAUGGUAACUUGACGGAUUGCAUGGCCUUCGUGCCGGCGACGUGUCAUUCAAGUUUCUGCCCCAUCAGGUUUCGACUGUAGUGUAUUGGACUACAGUGCCUAUAACGGGUAGCGGAGGAUUAGGGUUCGAUUCCGGAGAGGGAGCCUGAGAAACGGCUACCACAUCCAAGGAAGGCAGCAGGCGCGCAAAUUACCCAAUCCCAACUCAGGGAGGUAGUGACAAGAAAUAGCAAUGCGGGGCUUCUUGCUCUGCAAUUGGAAUGAGAACAAUUUAAAUCACUUAACGAGUAUCAAUUGGAGGGCAAGUCUGGUGCCAGCAGCCGCGGUAAUUCCAGCUCCAAUAGCGUAUAUGUAAGUUGUUGCGAUUAAAAAGCCCGUAGCUGAACCUCGGGCAACCCUGACGGUCCGCGUUUCGUGAGUACUGUCGUGGGUUGUCUUUCUGGCAAGACCGUAUCUCGGUGUUAACUCGCCGGGAACGGCGCUUGCCAAGGUUACUUUGAGUAAAAUAGAGUGUUCAAAGCAAGCUCGCGCUCUGAAUACACUAGCAUGGGAUAACACGACAUGACCGAUGGUCUAUCUUGUUGGCCUGUAGACCUGUUGGUAAUGGCUAAUAGGGACGGUCGGGGGCAUUCGUAUUUCGCUGUCAGAGGUGAAAUUCUUGGAUUUGCGAAAGACGAACUACUGCGAAAGCAUUUGCCAAGGACGCUUUCAUUAGUCAAGGACGAAA